Molecule: unclassified non-coding RNA, 337 nt
Filed under: soil metagenome
Description: partial contains 5.8S ribosomal RNA, internal transcribed spacer 2, and large subunit ribosomal RNA
Rfam family: 5.8S ribosomal RNA (bases 1-120)
Source: RNAcentral
GAUGAAGAACGUAGCGAAAUGCGAUAAGUAGCGUGAAUUGCAGAAUUCAGUGAAUCAUCGAAUCUUUGAACGCACAUUGCGCCCCAUGGUAUUCCGUGGGGCAUGCCUGUUCGAGCGUCAUUUACCCCCUCAAGCUCCGCUUGGUGUUGGGCGUCUGUCCCGCUUCGCGCGCGGACUCGCCCCAAAGGUAUUGGCAGCGGUCGUGCCAGCUUCUCGCGCAGCACAUUGCGCUUCUCGAGGCACCGGUGGGCCCGCGUCCAUCAAGCUCACCCCCCCAGUUUGACCUCGGAUCAGGUAGGGAUACCCGCUGAACUUAAGCAUAUCAAUAAGCGGAGGA